GACGAACGCUGGCGGCGUGCCUAAUACAUGCAAGUCGAGCGAGUCUGCCUUGAAGAUCGGAGUGCUUGCACUCUGUGAAACAAGAUACAGGCUAGCGGCGGACGGGUGAGUAACACGUGGGUAACCUGCCCAAGAGAUCGGGAUAACACCUGGAAACAGAUGCUAAUACCGGAUAACAACAGAUGAUGCCUAUCAACUGUUUAAAAGAUGGUUCUGCUAUCACUCUUGGAUGGACCUGCGGUGCAUUAGCUAGUUGGUAGGGUAACGGCCUACCAAGGCGAUGAUGCAUAGCCGAGUUGAGAGACUGAUCGGCCACAUUGGGACUGAGACACGGCCCAAACUCCUACGGGAGGCAGCAGUAGGGAAUCUUCCACAAUGGACGCAAGUCUGAUGGAGCAACGCCGCGUGAGUGAAGAAGGGUUUCGGCUCGUAAAGCUCUGUUGCUGGUGAAGAAGGACAGGGGUAGUAACUGACCUUUGUUUGACGGUAAUCAAUUAGAAAGUCACGGCUAACUACGUG
Molecule: ribosomal RNA, 519 nt
Filed under: uncultured bacterium
Lineage: Bacteria
Description: partial 16S ribosomal RNA
Rfam family: Bacterial small subunit ribosomal RNA
Source: RNAcentral